GGGGGAAUUCCUUCAUUAUGCUAAUACCGCCUAGAGAUAGGGGUAGGACGAUUAAUUGUAUUUUGCUUUUGUUUAUCAUGCAUUGCUAGUUACUAGGGGAGGCUAGAGAUAGCAAGCAAGUAAUUAGUAAUAGGCUCUUUUUGCCAAGAGAUUGGGUUUAGGGUAGACUCAGAAAGUUUGCAUGACAAUAUUUUAAAUAAGCGAAUUAAGUAAGAAGAAUAGAUAUAAAAGGGUGGAUAAGAUUAAAUUGUAAACCCCAACAACUCUAUUCAUCCAUAGUUUCUUCUAGCCAAUUGAUUCACUGCAUUUUGCAUGUUUAUUUUCG
RNAcentral lists this long non-coding RNA (325 nucleotides) under Vigna radiata. RNAcentral describes it as "long non-coding RNA (VRAD_LNC011844)". Lineage: Eukaryota; Viridiplantae; Streptophyta; Magnoliopsida; Fabales; Fabaceae. The record is from RNAcentral.